ACUCAAAUGAAUUGACGGGGGCCCGCACAAGCGGUGGAGCAUGUGGUUUAAUUCGACGCAACGCGAAGAACCUUACCUGGGUUGGAACCCCUUAGAAGUCCGCAGAGAUGUGGAUGUGCUCGCAAGAGAACUAAGUGUCCAGGUGCUGCAUGGCUGUCGUCAGCUCGUGUCGUGAGAUGUUGGGUUAAGUCCCGCAACGAGCGCAACCCUUGUCGUUAGUUGCCAACGGUUCGGCCGGGCACUCCAACGAGACUGCCGGUGUUAAACCGGAGGAAGGUGGGGAUGACGUCAAGUCCUCAUGGCCCUUAUGCCCAGGGCUACACACGUGCUACAAUGGCCGGUACAAAGGGUCGCAAGCCCGCGAGGGGAAGCCAAUCCCAAAAAACCGGCCUCAGUUCAGAUUGCAGUCUGCAACUCGACUGCAUGAAGUUGGAAUCGCUAGUAAUCCCUGAUCAGCAGGCAGGGGUGAAUACGUUCCCGGGCCUUGUACACACCGCCCGU
Molecule: ribosomal RNA, 501 nt
Filed under: uncultured bacterium
Lineage: Bacteria
Description: partial 16S ribosomal RNA
Rfam family: Bacterial small subunit ribosomal RNA
Source: RNAcentral